CAAAUCCUCAAAAUGCCUUCCUUCCCCGCCGCCGCCGCUGCUCCGGAGCCCCUCCUCGCCCCCUCCCCGGAUCGCUUCUGCAUGUUCCCCAUCAAAUACCCCUCCAUCUGGGAGAUGUACAAGAAGGCCGAGGCCUCCUUCUGGACGGCCGAGGAGGUCGAUCUCUCCUCCGACGUCCGCCACUGGGACACCACCCUCACCGCCGACGAGCGCCACUUCAUCUCCCACGUCCUCGCCUUCUUCGCCGCCUCCGACGGCAUCGUCCUCGAAAACCUCGCCGG
RNAcentral lists this unclassified non-coding RNA (281 nucleotides) under Hevea brasiliensis (rubber tree). The record is from RNAcentral. Lineage: Eukaryota; Viridiplantae; Streptophyta; Magnoliopsida; Malpighiales; Euphorbiaceae.